RNAcentral lists this ribosomal RNA (1438 nucleotides) under uncultured organism. RNAcentral's name for it is "SSU rRNA". It matches the Rfam family "Bacterial small subunit ribosomal RNA". The record is from RNAcentral.
CUACAGGCUUAACACAUGCAAGUCGAGGGGCAUCAGGAAGAAAGCUUGCUUUCUUUGCUGGCGACCGGCGCACGGGUGAGUAACACGUAUCCAACCUGCCCUUUACUCGGGGAUAGCCUUUCGAAAGAAAGAUUAAUACCCGAUAGUAUAAUGAUUCCGCAUGGUUUCAUUAUUAAAGGAUUCCGGUAAAGGAUGGGGAUGCGUUCCAUUAGGUUGUUGGUGAGGUAACGGCCCACCAAGCCUUCGAUGGAUAGGGGUUCUGAGAGGAAGGUCCCCCACAUUGGAACUGAGACACGGUCCAAACUCCUACGGGAGGCAGCAGUGAGGAAUAUUGGUCAAUGGGCGCUAGCCUGAACCAGCCAAGUAGCGUGAAGGAUGAAGGCUCUAUGGGUCGUAAACUUCUUUUAUAUAAGAAUAAAGUGCAGUAUGUAUACUGUUUUGUAUGUAUUAUAUGAAUAAGGAUCGGCUAACUCCGUGCCAGCAGCCGCGGUAAUACGGAGGAUCCGAGCGUUAUCCGGAUUUAUUGGGUUUAAAGGGAGCGUAGGUGGACUGGUAAGUCAGUUGUGAAAGUUUGCGGCUCAACCGUAAAAUUGCAGUUGAUACUGUCAGUCUUGAGUACAGUAGAGGUGGGCGGAAUUCGUGGUGUAGCGGUGAAAUGCUUAGAUAUCACGAAGAACUCCGAUUGCGAAGGCAGCUCACUGGACUGCAACUGACACUGAUGCUCGAAAGUGUGGGUAUCAAACAGGAUUAGAUACCCUGGUAGUCCACACAGUAAACGAUGAAUACUCGCUGUUUGCGAUAUACAGUAAGCGGCCAAGCGAAAGCAUUAAGUAUUCCACCUGGGGAGUACGCCGGCAACGGUGAAACUCAAAGGAAUUGACGGGGGCCCGCACAAGCGGAGGAACAUGUGGUUUAAUUCGAUGAUACGCGAGGAACCUUACCCGGGCUUAAAUUGCAGUGGAAUGAUGUGGAAACAUGUCAGUGAGCAAUCACCGCUGUGAAGGUGCUGCAUGGUUGUCGUCAGCUCGUGCCGUGAGGUGUCGGCUUAAGUGCCAUAACGAGCGCAACCCUUAUCUUUAGUUACUAACAGGUUAUGCUGAGGACUCUAGAGAGACUGCCGUCGUAAGAUGUGAGGAAGGUGGGGAUGACGUCAAAUCAGCACGGCCCUUACGUCCGGGGCUACACACGUGUUACAAUGGGGGGUACAGAAGGCAGCUAGCGGGUGACCGUAUGCUAAUCCCAAAAGCCUCUCUCAGUUCGGAUCGAAGUCCGCAACCCGACUUCGUGAAGCUGGAUUCGCUAGUAAUCGCGCAUCAGCCACGGCGCGGUGAAUACGUUCCCGGGCCUUGUACACACCGCCCGUCAAGCCAUGGGAGCCGGGGGUACCUGAAGUACGUAACCGCAAGGAUCGUCCUAGGGUAAAACUGGUGACUGGGGC